GGCUUGNCCUUUACCAUGCCAGUCGAACGGCAGCACGGGGGCAACCCUGGUGGCGAGUGGCGAACGGGUGAGUAAUACAUCGGAACGUGUCCUGUAGUGGGGGAUAGCCCGGCGAAAGCCGGAUUAAUACCGCAUACGAUCUGCGGAUGAAAGCGGGGGCUCCUUCGGGACCUCGCGCUGCAGGGGCGGCCGAUGGCAGAUUAGCUAGUUGGUGGGGUAAAGGCCUACCAAGGCGACGAUCUGUAGCUGGUCUGAGAGGACGACCAGCCACACUGGGACUGAGACACGGCCCAGACUCCUACGGGAGGCAGCAGUGGGGAAUUUUGGACAAUGGGCGAAAGCCUGAUCCAGCAAUGCCGCGUGUGUGAAGAAGGCCUUCGGGUUGUAAAGCACUUUUGUCCGGAAAGAAAACCUCUUGGUUAAUACCCGAGGGGGAUGACGGUACCGGAAGAAUAAGCACCGGCUAACUACGUGCCAGCAGCCGCGGUAAUACGUAGGGUGCAAGCGUUAAUCGGAAUUACUGGGCGUAAAGCGUGCGCAGGCGGUUCGCUAAGACAGAUGUGAAAUCCCCGGGCUUAACCUGGGAACUGCAUUUGUGACUGGCGGGCUAGAGUAUGGCAGAGGGGGGUAGAAUUCCACGUGUAGCAGUGAAAUGCGUAGAGAUGUGGAGGAAUACCGAUGGCGAAGGCAGCCCCCUGGGCCAAUACUGACGCUCAUGCACGAAAGCGUGGGGAGCAAACAGGAUUAGAUACCCUGGUAGUCCACGCCCUAAACGAUGUCAACUAGUUGUCGGGUCUUCAUUGACUUGGUAACGUAGCUAACGCGUGAAGUUGACCGCCUGGGGAGUACGGUCGCAAGAUUAAAACUCAAAGGAAUUGACGGGGACCCGCACAGCGGUGGAUGAUGUGGAUUAAUUCGAUGCACGCGAAAACCUUACCUACCCU
Molecule: ribosomal RNA, 944 nt
Filed under: Burkholderia sp. sk100102
Lineage: Bacteria; Pseudomonadati; Pseudomonadota; Betaproteobacteria; Burkholderiales; Burkholderiaceae
Description: bacterial SSU rRNA
Rfam family: Bacterial small subunit ribosomal RNA
Source: RNAcentral